This 116-nucleotide ribosomal RNA is filed under the name Bacillus amyloliquefaciens. Lineage: Bacteria; Bacillati; Bacillota; Bacilli; Caryophanales; Bacillaceae. RNAcentral also lists the same sequence under 3 other names. The record is from RNAcentral.
GCUGGUGGCGAUAGCGAAGAGGUCACACCCGUUCCCAUGCCGAACACGGAAGUUAAGCUCUUCAGCGCCGAUGGUAGUCGGGGGUUUCCCCCUGUGAGAGUAGGACGCCGCCAGUG